CUUGUUUCGACAGAUUCGAAAAGUACAAGUGAAUCUAAAAACUAAGAAAAAGAAAUCGAAAAAAUUACCGACAAUGAAAAGAAAACAACUGGAGAGGGUUGCCAAAAAACAAACCAAAUCAAGCAAGCUUGUUCUGUCAAAUUCAAAAAACAAAACUGAAUCUAAAAAGGAACGUGAAUAAGUAAAGGUUAGCACUGUCGAAAGAAGAAGAGAGGCGCUGUAGCUAUUAAGAGAAAAAAGAUCAAAGAGAAAAAAUGAUGGAGUUCGAAAAACAAAUGUUGCUCCGGAUGACUUUGACUCGACAAAGGCGCGAAAUGAUUUAUCCGAGAU
This is a long non-coding RNA of Arachis stenosperma, 330 nucleotides long. RefSeq lists it as uncharacterized. The transcript has 3 exons. The record is from RefSeq and is a predicted model, not a curated record. Lineage: Eukaryota; Viridiplantae; Streptophyta; Magnoliopsida; Fabales; Fabaceae.